This 63-nucleotide transfer RNA is filed under the name Climacia areolaris. RNAcentral describes it as "tRNA-Cys". Lineage: Eukaryota; Metazoa; Arthropoda; Insecta; Neuroptera; Sisyridae. The record is from RNAcentral.
AGUCUUAUAUUCAAAUAUGAUUUUAAAUUGCAAAUUUAAAGGUAGAAUAAAAUCUUAAGGCUU